GGAGGAAUAUUGGGCAAUGGGCGAAAGCCUGACCCAGCAACGCCGCGUGGAGGAUGAAAGCCUUCGGGUUGUAAACUCCUUUUGAGGGAGACGAGAAAGGACGGUAUCCCUCGAAUAAGUCACGGCUAACUACGUGCCAGCAGCCGCGGUAAAACGUAGGUGACGAGCGUUAUCCGGAUUUACUGGGCGUAAAGAGCUUGUAGGUGGCUCUGUAAGUUGGGUGUGAAAGCCCCGGGCUUAACUCGGGGAGGUUGCUCAAUACUGCAGGGCUUGAGGAUGUCAGAGGGAAGUGGAAUUCCUGGUGUAGCAGUGAAAUGCGUAGAUAUCAGGAGGAACACCCGUGGCGAAGGCGGCUUCCUGGGGCACUCCUGACACUGAGAAGCGAAAGCUAGGGGAGCGAACGGG
This 405-nucleotide ribosomal RNA is filed under the name uncultured bacterium. Its description in RNAcentral is "bacterial SSU rRNA". It matches the Rfam family "Bacterial small subunit ribosomal RNA", at positions 355 to 776 of the family's 1533-position model. The record is from RNAcentral.